GGAACCUGGUUGAUCCUGCCAGUAGUCAUAUGCUUGUCUUAAAGACUAAGCCAUGCAUGUCUAAGUAUAAGUAUUAUACAGCGAAACUGCGAAUGGCUCAUUAAAACAGUUAUAGUUUAUUCGAUUAUUUGCCCCUACAUGGAUAACCGUAGCAAUUCUAGAGCUAAUACAUGCUGUCAAACCUGACUUCGCGG
RNAcentral lists this ribosomal RNA (194 nucleotides) under uncultured eukaryote. Its description in RNAcentral is "partial 18S ribosomal RNA". It matches the Rfam family "Eukaryotic small subunit ribosomal RNA", at positions 1 to 194 of the family's 1831-position model. The record is from RNAcentral.